AAUUGAAAGCAAGCUGUCUGAGACAUCUGUCAAGCCCACAGAAUCGAUUUGGUGGUUCUGCCAUGCUGGGAAGGUGUCCCUUUUCUUCUUGGCUCUGUCACAUGUGUCUCUCCCCGAGCUGCACUCUUAUUGAAGAGGAUGAUUUUCCUAGAUAGAGGAGGACAAGGAUCUAUAGGGAAUCAAGUUCUUCCACUGGAAUAUCCACCACUUGUGUAGUAGGU
Molecule: small RNA, 221 nt
Filed under: Myotis lucifugus (little brown bat)
Lineage: Eukaryota; Metazoa; Chordata; Mammalia; Chiroptera; Vespertilionidae
Description: 7SK RNA (ENSMLUG00000027778.1)
Source: RNAcentral